Molecule: ribosomal RNA, 383 nt
Filed under: uncultured eukaryote
Lineage: Eukaryota
Description: partial 18S ribosomal RNA
Rfam family: Eukaryotic small subunit ribosomal RNA
Source: RNAcentral
CAAUAGCGUAUAUUAAAGUUGUUGCAGUUAAAAAGCUCGUAGUUGGAUUUCUGGUAGGAGUGACCGUUCCGAACUUGAUUGUUCGUGUAUUGUGUUUUCUCCAGCCAUCCUUGUGGAGAACUUUUCCUGCAUUAAUUUGUAGGGAUUGGGACCCGCAUCGUUUACUGUGAAAAAAUUAGAGUGUUUAAAGCAGGCAAUCGCUUGAAUACAUUAGCAUGGAAUAAUAAGAUAGGACUUUGGUACUAUUUUGUUGGUUUGCAUACCAAAUUAAUGAUCAACAGGAACAGUUUGAGGAUAUUCGUAUGAACAUGUCAGAGGUGAAAUUCUUGGAUUUUGAUCAGACGAACUACUGCGAAAGCAUUUAUCAAGGAUGUUUUCAUUAA